UCAGUCAAGUCGAGCAGCCAACUCUACGUUUUUGGUAUGUCUUGAUUUUUUGAAUUAAUAUUUACCAUAUUUCAGCCAAAUGUAGUUAAACGUCUAGAGUGUCGCCAUGUAACAUGCUAAAAAAGAGCCGUUAGCUUAUUUGCUGUUUUAUCUGUUGUCAAAGAAUUGGCGCUUUUUCAUUUGAAUUUGUCUUUGGCACAAGAGCCGUAAUAUCACAUUAAACCUAAUUACGAGGCACUCAUAACAUAAUUUGGUUUUCUGUGUGAAUAGAUUUGCCAACUGACUCUUCAGUUACAUUGUGUAUUUACUGCACCGUGGUGUUAGUGAGAUUUUGGACAUUGAACAGCUUUAGCUAAUAUCAUCAGCGGCAUUAUGCUAGCUUACAUCCCUACCCCUCCUGCCCUCACCUGCUGUCCUUUUGUUUUUGUUUUUGUUUUUUUUGCUGCACAUUGAGAGACGACCUCUAUUCUGCAUUUCACCAGGAGUCAGCUGAUGGAUUGUGGGUUCAAGGUGUUAUGAUAAAAUGCAGCAUUCCAGUGCAUCCCAACCUUGCCUUUACAGUCAAGGUUUCUGACGGAGCUGAGUUUCUCUCUGACAGUCUGCUGAAAGUGUUUGCAAAGUGAUCGGGGGAACAGGGCACAAAGCUAAAGGAUGUAGCUGCCAUGAUGACAGUAAGAACUUUAAAAUUCUUUAACUACAAAGUGUAUAUGUAUUGCAUUAGGUCAGUAAAAGAUUUUUAUGCUACAUCCAUUGAAACAGUCAACUAUUACCUGUGAGUACUGAUUCCACUGAAAGGAUGCCAUAAUUUUCGUCAUGCAUUUACUGGCCCACUGAGAAAAAUUUAUCUUUUUUUAAAAAUAAAUGUUCUGGAAACUAUAUAUCCAUAAAGUUGAUGUCAAACAGGAACUUUUGAUAUUGCUUUGUAGAUGCUGGUGUUGCAUGUUGACUGGUUUAAAAAGUCAAGAGUUUUUGUCUGGGAUCAUUUUCUUCUGUGCUACUGAAAAGUUCACAAAUCUCUGUUUUCUUUGUUAUAAUAGUCAAGGAUGACAUUAAUGCUCGGAGUCCCUCAUCAAAGUGCUCCGCAUCUGUGUGAAAGACAAUUGCAACAUCUUGGUGCAGGAGUUCAUGGACUUGACUGAGGCCACUGCACAGAUUGAGAAAACCACAAUGAACAUCUGUCUCCAGAGGAUGCACCAGGCAAUGACUUUUCUGAUGUUGGCAUCAUCAUCGAGGGUGUAGUAGUUCUUCAAGAUCUGGAUAACGUGACCUUUGCAGUAGCCAUGCUGUUUGGACCUUUUUUAUUCCUUCAACAUGAGUUACCCAUCACAACUCUGCUACACUUUUGAGGUGAUUCAAAGGGUGGUAAUGGAGUUGGAUGCAACUCAGCUCUCAAGAAAAGCUCACAACUAAGACAAAACUGCUCCUGCAAGGAAAGCUCACUGUUAU
Long non-coding RNA from Haplochromis burtoni (Burton's mouthbrooder), 1446 nucleotides. RefSeq lists it as uncharacterized. NCBI's taxonomy places the organism in Eukaryota, Metazoa, Chordata, Actinopteri, Cichliformes, Cichlidae. The transcript is spliced from 3 exons. The record is from RefSeq and is a predicted model, not a curated record.